UAACAAUAAAGAAAAGAAAUGACUAAUGAGAUAUAGCUUAAUGGUACUGAAGUCAUCCAUAGUAUUAUGGGGUUUUGAGUUUGAGUAUCAGUCGGAGCUCUCAAUAUACCCAAAAAUAAAGAAAAGAAAUUAUUGGAAAUGGUUAUGAACACACUACUCCAAGUUUUCCUCAAAAUCUAAAGAACAUGAGCUAACCGGAAGAGAGAGAGAAUUGAACAGUGAAAAAGACUAUCUCGGUAACACUACGACUAAAUAAAUGAUACUAUUAUCAUCUUCAAAUCAAUCCUACAACAUAAUACAUAACAAAUCCCAAGCACAGGCAUUUUGUUUAGAAGAAUAAAAAAGGUCUUGGCAGUGAUGACAAUGGCAAUGACAAAUGCAAUAAUAACAAUCCUUUAUUCCCUAUUUUUUCUUUCCCCUCCACGCACACUUCUAACAAAAGUAGUUGUUGACAAAGAAAGAUGGAUGCACACUAAUACCUAAAAUGAAAUGUUGUGUCCCAUCCUACCUGCUGCUUUCCCCAUUGAUAGGUUUCUCUUCUUUAUGCACUUCAAAGUUGUUAAUGACAUUGGAUUCCACCCUAGGAGGACCAGAAUACCUCCUUGGUCCAGCUGGGGAAGCAGAGAAAGAAAGCCGCUUCUUUACAGAACCCGCGGAUGCCUUUUCUGGUGUCCCAUUCUUCCCUAUUCCUAAGGGGCUUGGCAACCGGGAUUUUGCCUUUGCUGACUGUGUGGGUGUCAUGUAACUUGGAACUGAGGGUGAGCUAGCUAGGCUCUCAUCAUCUCUCACCGAUGAACCUGCUAUGCUGUGCCUCCGACAUCGCUCAGAUUGGACACUGAACAAACUCCUUGAGUCAUCAUCCCCACCCCAACCGCUCCCUCUUGGACUUGGUGACUUCGCUUUCCCUGUUACUGAUGAUAUAGAAGGCGCUUUGGAAGGAGUAGUUGAAGGAGAUUGACGACUGGAAGGUCGGCUUGAUAUUUGGACACCAUGUGAAGGCUUAUUAUCACGGUUGAGAUCACGACGAGAGUAAGCUCUGCUGAUUUCACCAAUAGACAUGGCACGACUUGUUGAGCUUUUGACAGAAGAAAGAUCAUUAUUAUCUAUUGUGCUCCGGCUCCCCCAAGGCCGGGCUGCCAUCCAUCUUUCUAACCAACUCCAACCCCAGUUAGGAUUAUUUGGAUCCAUAAACGUUGGAUUUGCUGAUUUUGAAAAGUUCUUCCAUGUUUGCUGAUGAGAGAAUGCAUAAGCCAAUGCCCUUUCUCUUCUCAUAGCAGACUCUUGCUUGUGCAGUAAGUUUGCUUCAAUUUGCUCCUUUGACUGCAUGCUAUCAUCCCAAUUUUCUCCAAUAGCAUCUCUCAACUUCUCUAGCUCUUUCUCACGUUUUUGUUGGAGCUGCCACUGUAUGGCGUUGUUGUCCUCUGACACUUUGAUCCUCCUUGCAUGAAUUUGAGACUGCACACGAGCAAGAGUCUUCAUUGCCCGUAAGGUGUUAGUCGCUUGCCGUUUGACAGAUUGGCCUUGUAUUAACUUCUUUAAUCUCACCAACCCUCUCAAAGCUCGCAAUGCCCUCCUUGCCAAGUAUCCUCUAAACGCCGUUUGAAUUUUGAUAGCAGCUAUUUCCUCCCUUGAAUUUCCAGAAUAACGGGCCACACUAGUGAGCCGAACAACCUCAGCAGCAGCAUGGGCAGCAGCAACAGCUGCCUCAGCAGCCGUAGCAGUAGCAAGUGCCACAGAAUAUGCAUGCUUGCUCUGCUCAUUCUCAGCUUCAGUUAAUUUCACAUUUUCUAAAGGGGCAAGAAGAGGAAGAGGAGGCGGUGGCGGUGGAGGUGGAGGAGGGGCAGGAAUUGCUAAUGCAGUAGUUUCUUCAUAUUUAGAAACAACCGGAUCUAGAUUACUCUCUCGAUUCUUUGAUUUGGAUUUCUUAGGACUGAGAGCUUUCUUCAAAGCAGAGAACCAAGUCCCCUUUUUCCCCAUUUCUUAGUCAUUCAUGUGGCUUGGCUAAACAUGAAAUUUCAAACCCAAGUGAGAUUAAACCAUAAAGAAAGAAAAACAAAUGCAUAACAGUUCAAACAUAUUGAACACAAAGUUGAAUUACAUCAAAAGAGAAAACAAGGAAAGUUAAUAAUCAAACUGCAGAUGGAAAACCACAAAAAAAACUUUGGCAACUCAGCCUCAAAAUGUUUUUGAGGGGAAAACAAACAAUACUUGGAAAUUAGAUCUAUCAUAAGCAAUUAAUAAAACGAUUAAAAAGGGAAAUAAAUUUAUGAAAUAGCAUUAAACCACCGCUCCUACAGAAAAUGUGGAAACUUUCAACCAGUAACUCAAGAAGAGAAACAAAUGCUCAAUAACCCAGAUUCAAAAUUUGUAAGAUCUUCAUAAAAAACAUAUAACCCAGUUCAGAGUUUCUAAUUUAGAAACAAACCCAGGAAGGCAUAAGCCAACAAGAGUGAACAGCAUGAGACAGCAUUUAAUAAUUGUAUAAAAAAACAAAAAAAAGGCCAAACAAGAGGAGGGAAAAAAAAU
This 2526-nucleotide unclassified non-coding RNA is filed under the name Hevea brasiliensis (rubber tree). Lineage: Eukaryota; Viridiplantae; Streptophyta; Magnoliopsida; Malpighiales; Euphorbiaceae. The record is from RNAcentral.